This 438-nucleotide long non-coding RNA is filed under the name Anser cygnoides (Swan goose). Its description in RNAcentral is "lncRNA (ENSACDG00005006050.1)". Lineage: Eukaryota; Metazoa; Chordata; Aves; Anseriformes; Anatidae. The record is from RNAcentral.
AUGAAUCUGCACAUAGCUCUAUCCCCCAAAAUGGGAGCUGGGUCUAACUUGCUGCUUCCCACCUUUCUAUACUGUGCUGAAGGUCAACAGAUGUUGUCAUUCUCCUUUAGGCCUAUCUGGAAAGGGACAAGCAUCUCUAGACUGAAAAAGCCACCACUGUGUUCAAAAGCAAGGUAUUGCCAAACUGUCAGUAUCCUUUCUGCCAGCCUGGACCAUACCUCCAGCUUGGCUGAAGUUAUUCAUGGUGAGGGCACACCAUUGUUCUUCAUGCCAUCGCUGUCAUUGCUGAAAGAACCUUCCCCCUUUGCUACUUACAAAGAAAAGGCCUAUCCCACUCUCAGCCUUGGAAUGAACCAAAUUCCUCUACAAUGUGUAGACACUGCUGGUGAUAAAGCUGCUGAAAACGCGUUAUAUAAACCAAACUCUGGCACUUGCUAA